AUUAGCAACGGAGUAGCAGCGGCAGCGAUGAAGGUGGGGCUGGGAGGUGCAGUAGCCUAAACGGCAGGUGCGGCGGCGGCGGGAAUAGCAACGCAGCAGCAGCGGCAGCGACGGCGAAGGGGCUGGGAGGUGCAGUAGCCUAAACGGCAGGCGCGGCAGCGGUGGGAAAUAGCAACAGCAGCAGGCGCGGCGGCGGCGGGAAUUAGCAACGGAGUAGCAGCGGCAGCGACGAAGGUGGGGCUGGGAGGUGCAGUAGCCUAAACAGCAGGCGCAGCGGCGGCGGGAAAUAGCAACGCAGCAGCAGCGGCAGCGACGGUGUUGGGGCUGGGAGGUGCUGUAGCCUAAACGGCAGGCACGGCAGCGGCGGGAAAUAGCAACAGCAGCAGGCGCGGCGGCGGCGGGAAUUAGCAACGGAGUAGCAGCGGCAGCGACGAAGGUGGGGCUGGGAGGUGCAAUUGUCUGAACAACAGGCGCGGUGGCGGCGGGAAAUAGCAACAGCAGCAGGCGCGGCGGCGGUGGGAAUUAGCAACGGAGUAGCAGCGGCAGCAACGGCGGUGGGGCUGGGAGGUGCAUUAGUGAGGGCCUUUAUUUUACAAAAAAUGGGCCACAUCCAAUUGGCCAUCCAAUCUUUUCUCUCUUCACUCUCUUCCAAGUGAUGUAGCCACAGAGAACAUACAAUCACUAUUUUGGUAUUGCUGUGGCUGCCAGUUCAACUCUGGCAUGGAAGUCAUUUUCCUUACUCUGACUAUAUACCUACUACUAUUAUACUAAAGGGUAGUACCAGUGCUACUAUAUACAUACAAGUAGUUGUAGUAGCAGCACAUACAAUAAAUCGCAAGUGUGAUGCCAUUUCGUGAAACAAAAUUUUCAAAAUUCUCGCCAGUCCAGAAAUGCAAGUCCAGCAGGCGCGGCGGCGGUGGGAAUUAGCAACGGAGUAGCAGCGGCAGCGACGGCGGUGGGGCUGGGAGGGCCAUUAGUCUCAACAGCAGGCACGGCGGCGGGGGGAAAUAGCAACAGCAGCAGGCGUGGCGGCGGCAGGAAUUAGCAACGGAGUAGCAGCGGCAGUGAUGAAGGUGGGGCUGGGAGGUGCAGUAGCCUAAACGGCAGG
This 1108-nucleotide long non-coding RNA is filed under the name Volvox carteri. RNAcentral's name for it is "long non-coding RNA (VCAR_LNC003930)". Lineage: Eukaryota; Viridiplantae; Chlorophyta; Chlorophyceae; Chlamydomonadales; Volvocaceae. The record is from RNAcentral.